RNAcentral lists this ribosomal RNA (549 nucleotides) under Microlepidotus inornatus (wavyline grunt). Its description in RNAcentral is "partial 16S ribosomal RNA". It matches the Rfam family "Bacterial large subunit ribosomal RNA", at positions 1858 to 2606 of the family's 2925-position model. Lineage: Eukaryota; Metazoa; Chordata; Actinopteri; Lutjaniformes; Haemulidae. The record is from RNAcentral. RNAcentral also lists the same sequence under 1 other name.
CCUGCCCUGUGACUAUAUGUUUAACGGCCGCGGUAUCUUGACCGUGCGAAGGUAGCGCAAUCACUUGUCUUUUAAAUAGGGACCUGUAUGAAUGGCAUAACGAGGGCUUAACUGUCUCCUUUUUCAAGUCAAUGAAAUUGAUCUCCCCGUGCAGAAGCGGGGAUAAACCCAUAAGACGAGAAGACCCUGUGGAGCUUUAGACACCAAGGCAGAUCACGUUAAGCACCCCCCAAUACGGGAUCAAACUAAGUGAGCCCUGCCCUAUGUCUUCGGUUGGGGCGACCAUGGGGUAAAGCAAACCCCCCACGCGGAGAGAGAGUACAACCCUCCCAAAACCAAGAGUUCCCACUCUAAUGAACAGAAUUUCUGACCUAAAGAUCCGGCAAAGCCGAUCAACGGACCAAGUUACCCCAGGGAUAACAGCGCAAUCCUCUUUUAGAGCCCAUAUCGACAAGGGGGUUUACGACCUCGAUGUUGGAUCAGGACAUCCUAAUGGUGCAGCCGCUAUUAAGGGUUCGUUUGUUCAACGAUUAAAGUCCUACGUGAUCU